ACAUUGGUCAUUCAGUGGUAGAAUUUUCACCUGCAAUGCCAGAGACCCUGGUUCAUUCCUGGCCAGUGCA
This 70-nucleotide transfer RNA is filed under the name Loxodonta africana (African savanna elephant). It matches the Rfam family "tRNA". Rfam says of the family: Transfer RNA (tRNA) molecules are approximately 80 nucleotides in length. Their secondary structure includes four short double-helical elements and three loops (D, anti-codon, and T loops). The record is from Rfam by way of RNAcentral. Lineage: Eukaryota; Metazoa; Chordata; Mammalia; Proboscidea; Elephantidae.